GUAGCAUUACUGGAAGACGUCGGCAGGUGCAGCGUCGGCUGCGUCGCCGCCCCCCCCCCCAACCGUGCCAAUCAUCACUAGAGCGAGUCUGAAAGGACGAUUGCUGCGCCCUUGCUGCUCCUCGCUGGGUGGAGCUGACGCUCUUUGCGAUGGAUCACGCGGCCACAUAAGUGCCCUCUCUUUCUCGUGCCCCCUCCCCAUCUGUAACGCAUGCAAUGAGGAAUGAAGGCGGCGCCGUCACCAAGGCGCUUGCACGCUCCCUCUACCGCCGAGUCCUCAAGCUCGUCUCCGUGGCGGAGCAGCCCCACACGCAGCGCAUUGUGCAGACACAGUGGGUUGAGUUUGUGCCCUCAGAGGUGUGGAUCGCCCCUGGCGACGAGCUGCGUCACAUUGUCCGCCGCUCCUUCGAGGCACCGUACACCCCAGCCGCGGUGGCGAACGCCUUCAACUUUCUUAAAGAAGCCCAAAACUCCCUCUUUUCGAUCCGGGUGCUGGCAGAGUGGGAGCGGCUGGAGGGGCAGGACCACUGGGACCUCUACGACGGCAUGGCGCUGAUGAGCGCCGCGCUUUACGGCGCGUGCGUCGGGAUCAACUUACACCAGUCCUUCGAGAGCUGCAUCAAGGACUACCAGGUGCGCAUUCGAUCCUACGUGCAGAGCAUAGCCAAGUCGGUGCAGGAGCGGAUAGAGGUGCGCUCACUCGAGGCGGGGCACGUGGAGGACCUCAACAGGUUUAUGAAGCUGGUGCGCGAGGCGAGCGCUCUCGAGCGGCGCGAAGCCAAGCCGGAGGAUUUCAGCCUCGUUUCGCUGCUGCAGAACCGCUGCGCCUCGGAGUACGUACUCAACAUCAUCGUCACCUUCGUACUGCGGGCCCUUGAUAUUCACAGCACCUUAGUAGGCGCCGACCUGUCUUUUCGGUGGGUACGGGUGAUGCCGCGCCACAACGCGUCCCCCAUCUUCGCGUCAUGGACCUACGGGGCCAUGCGGCGCCGGGAGGUCGAGCGACUCAUCCGCACCGCCGACACGCAUUGGUACCGCUCCGUCCCGUGGGACGCCUUGCAGCGAAAGAGUGUCGUUUGUGCUUUGCUGCGGCGUCAGCUGGGGUGUCUCCCAGCCUCCCCGGACACGAGCGCCAAGCAGAUCAAGUCCAGCUGCAAGAAGCAGCUCCUCUUUCUUCUCUCUCCUGACCCGUAGAAAGGAUAGAUGACGCCACCGCUUCUGCGGGCACGGAGGCGCGAGGGCAUCCCCUCUCUGUAUGCGCCAGGCCCGGCCGGCAUUUGUUUUGCAAACACCUCUCAGCAGCGAUGCUUGCACGAGCGUGUGCACGCAUCGCUGCUGCCCAAG
Molecule: unclassified non-coding RNA, 1343 nt
Filed under: Leishmania donovani
Lineage: Eukaryota; Euglenozoa; Kinetoplastea; Trypanosomatida; Trypanosomatidae
Description: gene:LdHU3.31.0190(CDS-product:hypothetical_prote in_conserved)
Source: RNAcentral